GGGCAAGUAACUCAGUUGGUUUAGAGUACCUCGCUGAUACCGAGGAAGUCGGGGGUUCAAAUCCCUCCUUGCCCACCA
Molecule: transfer RNA, 78 nt
Filed under: Clostridia bacterium
Lineage: Bacteria; Bacillati; Bacillota; Clostridia
Description: tRNA-Ile
Rfam family: tRNA
About the family: Transfer RNA (tRNA) molecules are approximately 80 nucleotides in length. Their secondary structure includes four short double-helical elements and three loops (D, anti-codon, and T loops).
Source: RNAcentral